AGGAACCUUUGUCCCAGUGAGAGAGGCUGAGGAGUACGUACCAAGGGACAGUUUGUGAGACUCUGCCCCUCCCUCCCCACUGCUGAUAUAACAGCAUGAAAUUAAACCUAUUCCAGUCUGUGACAUCUGAUCCCUUUGACAUGACAUAGUACAACCUGUAGAGCCAGAGGUGGGGGCCAGGAAGCCCUGUUCUAGUCUCUCUGCACAACCUUGAGCCAUCUCAUCAUCUGCACAUCUGCCUGAACCUCAGUCUCCCACUCUGGACGUUGUCGGGGUGAUGGAGCAAGCAUUCAGUUAUUCUCUGCUGGAUUCUGAUGUGGUCUAAAGUCCACACUUUGUUGUGAAACACCGCAAUCUGUGAUGUACAGAACCUAUUACUGCGGCCACCCAGGAAUGCUGGGGGCAGGCCUUUUGAGAAGGUGAAUCAGCGUGUGUUAGCUCAGGGCAGAGGGCCUGGCGGUGAGACGUGAGAACAGCCAAUGUCAUGGCGGUGGGGGAGUGGACGUGAGCCAUCUGGGGCCCAGCAAACAGCAUGUUGAAAAAAACGAGGAACUCAAAGGCAGAUGAGCCUACCACGCUGGGAACAGUUGGGAGUACAUUGCUCAAGCCCCGGCCAGUUUUAUGUCACUGCUGGUGUGAAGCAGUGAACAGUGACCCAGCAUGCAUCCAGGUGGCGGGACAGAGUCAGACUCUCCAGGGCAGAGAGACUCUAAAACUGACGGCCAGGUCUUGCUCAGACUACGGGCCUGAGGGAAGAUCCAAGACUGAAACAGGGCUUGGAAUGGAGGGGGUGGAGUUGAGGAGAUCACAGAGGACCUAGGAGUGUGUGUAUCGGAGAGAGAUAGGAAACCACUGACCGUUCAGCACACAUUCAGAAUUACUGCCUGUCCCAGGGAGGGACCCACAGCUCCGGCGCUCCGUUCAGCAUCUGGAAGAGCAUAGCUCGCUGUGAGCGGCCGCCCCAGAAGACUGUAUCCCACCCAGCCAGCUCUCCUGCCUGCUUGCCUCUGCCCCACACCAGGACACUUCAUACUGUCAGAACCACUGGGUGUGUGAGCUUGUGAGAGGGUGUGUGGGCACACAUGUCCCUGUGUGGGGUGUGGAGGUCAGAGGGCAACUUGGAGGAAUUGGUUCUCUCCUUCCACCACUGGGGCCCAGGAAUCAAGCCGAGGUUCCCAGACGUGGUAGCAGCCUCCCUUACCUGUUAAACCAGUGCUUCCCAGACUUCCUAAUGCUGUGACCUCAUGCUGUGCUGACCCCCGCCCAUGACAUUAUCUCUGUUGGUAUUUUAUAACUGUAAUUUUGCUACUAUUAUGAAUCACAAUGUAAAUGUCUGUUUUCUGAUG
Molecule: long non-coding RNA, 1346 nt
Filed under: Mus musculus (house mouse)
Lineage: Eukaryota; Metazoa; Chordata; Mammalia; Rodentia; Muridae
Description: predicted gene, 19696
Source: RNAcentral